Molecule: ribosomal RNA, 770 nt
Filed under: uncultured bacterium
Lineage: Bacteria
Description: bacterial SSU rRNA
Rfam family: Bacterial small subunit ribosomal RNA
Source: RNAcentral
UGGCGGCGUGCUUAACACAUGCAAGUCGAACGAAGCACCUUGAUUUGAUUCUUCGGAUGAAGAUCUUGGUGACUGAGUGGCGGACGGGUGAGUAACGCGUGGGUAACCUGCCUCAUACGGGGGGAUAACAGUUAGAAAUGACUGCUAAUACCGCAUAAGACCACAGCACCGCAUGGUGCAGGGGCAAAAACUCCGGUGGUAUGAGAUGGACCCGCGUCUGAUUAGGUAGUUGGUGGGGUAACGGCCUACCAAGCCGACGAUCAAUAGCCGACCUGAGAGGGUGACCGGCCACAUUGGGACUGAGACACGGCCCAAACUCCUACGGGAGGCAGCAGUGGGGAAUAUUGCACAAUGGGGGAAACCCUGAUGCAGCGACGCCGCGUGAGCGAUGAAGUAUUUCGGUAUGUAAAGCUCUAUCAGCAGGGAAGAAAAUGACGGUACCUGACUAAGAAGCACCGGCUAAAUACGUGCCAGCAGCCGCGGUAAUACGUAUGGUGCAAGCGUUAUCCGGAUUUACUGGGUGUAAAGGGAGCGUAGACGGAGUGGCAAGUCUGAUGUGAAAACCCGGGGCUCAACCACGGGACUGCAUUGGAAACUGUCAAUCUAGAGUACCGGAGAGGUAAGCGGAAUUCCUAGUGUAGCGGUGAAAUGCGUAGAUAUUAGGAGGAACACCAGUGGCGAAGGCGGCUUACUGGACGGUAACUGACGUUGAGGCUCGAAAGCGUGGGGAGCAAACAGAAUUAGAUACCCUGGUAGUCCACGCCGUAAAC